This 483-nucleotide ribosomal RNA is filed under the name uncultured bacterium. Its description in RNAcentral is "bacterial SSU rRNA". It matches the Rfam family "Bacterial small subunit ribosomal RNA", at positions 28 to 512 of the family's 1533-position model. The record is from RNAcentral.
GAUGAACGCUAGCGGCAGGCUUAACACAUGCAAGUCGAGGGGUAUAGGUUUUCGGACCUAGAGACCGGCGCACGGGUGCGUAACGCGUAUGCAAUCUACCUUUCACAGAGGGAUAGCCCAGAGAAAUUUGGAUUAAUACCUCAUAGUAUUAUAGAAUGGCAUCAUUUUAUAAUUAAAGUCACAACGGUGAAAGAUGAGCAUGCGUCCCAUUAGCUAGUUGGUAUGGUAACGGCAUACCAAGGCAACGAUGGGUAGGGGUCCUGAGAGGGAGAUCCCCCACACUGGUACUGAGACACGGACCAGACUCCUACGGGAGGCAGCAGUGAGGAAUAUUGGUCAAUGGGCGCAAGCCUGAACCAGCCAUGCCGCGUGCAGGAUGACGGUCCUAUGGAUUGUAAACUGCUUUUGCACAGGAAGAAACAACGCUACGUGUAGCGUCUUGACGGUACUGUGAGAAUAAGGAUCGGCUAACUCCGUGCCAGC